This 254-nucleotide ribosomal RNA is filed under the name uncultured bacterium. RNAcentral describes it as "partial 16S ribosomal RNA". It matches the Rfam family "Bacterial small subunit ribosomal RNA", at positions 524 to 776 of the family's 1533-position model. The record is from RNAcentral.
UACGUAGGGGGCGAGCGUUGUCCGGAUUUAUUGGGCGUAAAGAGCUCGUAGGUGGUUUGGUAAGUCGGAUGUGAAAUCUCCAGGCUCAACCUGGAGGGGUCAUUCGAUACUGCCAUGACUAGAGGUCGGUAGGGGAGUGUGGAAUUCCUGGUGGAGCGGUGAAAUGCGCAGAUAUCAGGAGGAACACCCGUAGCGAAGGCGGCACUCUGGGCCGAUACUGACACUGAGGAGCGAAAGCGUGGGGAGCGAACAGG